AGCCCAGACCGCCAGCUAAGGUCCCUAAUUAUGUCUAAGUGGGAAAGGAGGUGGAUAUUCACAGACAACCAGGAGGUUGGCUUAGAAGCAGCCAUACCUUGAAAGAGUGCGUAAUAGCUCACUGGUCGAGAGUAUCUGCGCCGAAGAUAUAACGGGGCUAAGACAUGAACCGAAGCUGCGGAAUUAGAUUAAACUAAUUGGUAGGAGAGCGUUCUGUAGGCUGUAGAAGGAGUGCUGUAAGGCAUUCUGGAGGCAUCAGAAGUGAGAAUGCAGGAAUGAGUAGCGAGAAGGAGGGUGAGAAUCCCUCCGGCCGGAAGUCCAAGGUUUCCAGGGGAAGGUUUGUCCGCCCUGGGGGAGUCGGGACCUAAGCAUAAGCAGAGCUGCGAAGGCGAAUGGAAAACAGGUUAAUAUUCCUGUACCACUGCAAUCGUUUGAGAGAUGGAGUGACGCAGGGAGGUAUGUGAGAAGGCUGACGGAAUAGCCUUUCUAAGGGCUUAGCAUGGACAUGUAGGCAAAUCCGCAUGUUUAAAUGUGAGACCUGAUGGGGAAGUGUCCUAGGGACAUAAGUCACAGAUCCUGCACUGCCGAGAAAAACUUCUAUUAAGAGAAGCAGUGCCCGUACUGUAAACCGACACAGGUGGACAGAGUGAGAAACUUAAGGCCGACAGGAUAACUCUAGCUAAGGAACUCUGCAAAAUAGCCCCGUAACUUCGGGAGAAGGGGUGCCUGACAUACCUGAGAGGAGAAGCGCCUCAAGGGGAAACAGGCCGCAGUGAAGAGUCCCAAGCAACUGUUUACCAAAAACACAGGUCUAUGCUAAGCUGAAAGGCGACGUAUAUGGGCUGACACCUGCCCAGUGCCGGAAGGUUAAGGGGAGGACUGAGAGGUCCGAGCUGAAGCCCCGGUGAACGGCGGCCGUAACUAUAACGGUCCUAAGGUAGCGAAAUUCCUUGUCGGGUAAGUUCCGACCUGCACGAAUGGUGAAAUGAUUUGGGAGCUGUCUUGGCCGGAGACCUGGUGAAGUUGUAAUGCCGGUGAAGAUACCGGUUACCUGCAGUAGGACGGAAAGACCCCGUGGAGCUUUACUGUAGCUUGGCAUUGGGUUUUGGCAAUGUGUGUAUAGGAUAGCUGGGAGGCUAAGAUAUCAAGGCGUCAGUUUUGAAGGAGCCGCUGUUGGAAUACCAGCCAUAUAUUGUUGAAAUUCUAAUCUCAUGAGAUGGGAGACAGUGCCAGGUGGGCAGUUUGACUGGGGCGGUCGCCUCCAAAAGAGUAACGGAGGCGUUCAAAGGUUCCCUCAGGCUGGAUGGAAAUCAGCCGGAGAGUGCAAACGCAAAAGGGAGCUUGACUGCGAGACUGACGGGUCGAGCAGGCACGAAAGUGGGAGUUAGUGAUCCGGCGGUGCUGAAUGGAAAGGCCGUCGCUCAACGGAUAAAAGCUACCCCGGGGAUAACAGGCUGAUACUUCCCAAG
Molecule: ribosomal RNA, 1469 nt
Filed under: human oral metagenome
Description: bacterial LSU rRNA
Rfam family: Bacterial large subunit ribosomal RNA
Source: RNAcentral